AUCGAACGCUGGCAGCAUGCUUUACACAUGCAAGUCGAACGGUAACAGGUUAAGCUGACGAGUGGCGAACGGGUGAGUAAUGCAUCGGAACGUGCCCGGUCGUGGGGGAUAACGCAGCGAAAGCUGCGCUAAUACCGCAUACGAUCUGAGGAUGAAAGCGGGGGACCGUAAGGCCUCGCGCGAUCGGAGCGGCCGAUGUCAGAUUAGGUAGUUGGUGGGGUAAAGGCUCACCAAGCAAACGAUCUGUAGCUGGUCUGAGAGGACGACCAGCCACACUGGGCCUGAGACACGGCCCAGACUCCUACGGGAGGCAGCAGUGGGGAAUUUUGGACAAUGGGCGGAGGCCUGAUCCAGCAAUGCCGCGUGCAGGAAGAAGGCCUUCGGGUUGUAAACUGCUUUUGUACGGAGCGAAAAGGUCUCCUCUAAUACAGGGGGCUCAUGACGGUACCGUAAGAAUAAGCACCGGCUAACUACGUGCCAGCCGCCGCAGUAA
Molecule: ribosomal RNA, 493 nt
Filed under: uncultured bacterium
Lineage: Bacteria
Description: partial 16S ribosomal RNA
Rfam family: Bacterial small subunit ribosomal RNA
Source: RNAcentral